RNAcentral lists this ribosomal RNA (416 nucleotides) under bacterium pc18. RNAcentral describes it as "bacterial SSU rRNA". It matches the Rfam family "Bacterial small subunit ribosomal RNA", at positions 1 to 420 of the family's 1533-position model. The record is from RNAcentral.
UGAGUUUGAUCAUGGCUCAAAGUGAACGCUGGCGGUAGGCCUAACACAUGCAAGUCGAACGGCAGCACAGGAGAGCUUGCUCUCUGGGUGGCGAGUGGCGGACGGGUGAGGAAUACAUCGGAAUCUACUCUGUCGUGGGGGAUAACGUAGGGAAACUUACGCUAAUACCGCAUACGACCUACGGGUGAAAGCAGGGGAUCUUCGGACCUUGCGCGAUUGAAUGAGCCGAUGUCGGAUUAGCUAGUUGGCGGGGUAAAGGCCCACCAAGGCGACGAUCCGUAGCUGGUCUGAGAGGAUGAUCAGCCACACUGGAACUGAGACACGGUCCAGACUCCUACGGGAGGCAGCAGUGGGGAAUAUUGGACAAUGGGCGCAAGCCUGAUCGAGCCAUACCGCGUGGGUGAAGAAGGCCUUCG